RNAcentral lists this long non-coding RNA (856 nucleotides) under Homo sapiens (human). RNAcentral's name for it is "HSALNT0385625". Lineage: Eukaryota; Metazoa; Chordata; Mammalia; Primates; Hominidae. The record is from RNAcentral.
CGCCCGGGGCAGCUGGCCGAGCCCUCGAUGCCUCCCGUCUGACGGAGGCGCCCGGGAAGCGCCGCCCACCUCGGCCCCGCACCCUCGCCGGCCUGCCGGGUCUCCGCCAGCCCUAGCAGACAGAGAGGGGCGCCGGUCCCUAGUCCCCCAGACCUCCAUUCAAGGUCAAAACUUUGCCCAGCUCAGCCUUGCUCGACCCUGGGCAGGGAAGCGCGGACAUCGGCAGAGGGAGCCCGAGGCUCUCCGUGCCCUUCGCGCCGGUCAAGAACUGUGGAAUCUUUCAGAUGAUAUUCUGAUACUUCUGGACCAAGAUUGAAUUUGUUCUUCAUGAAAAAUGUCUGGGACCUUUUAUAUGGACGGGGAAUACCAACGUAGAGAUGGUCAAGAAAAUUUGCGCUCCGACCUAAACCAAGCACGUUGUAUGAUGAAAGAGAGACAAACCUUGACCUGGAGAUGCUUAAAGGUGGGAGGAGCCAAGAUGGCCGAAUAGGAAAAGCUCCGGUCUACAGCUCCCAGCGUGAGCAACGCAGAAGACGGGUGAUUUCUGCAUUUCCAUCUGAGGGUGUACUCCAUCUACUUUUAAAAACAAAAAGUUCACUGUAAAACAGCCUCAGGUAGGCCGUUCAGUAGGUAUUCCAGAAGAAGGUAUUGUCAUCAUAGGAGAUGGACAGCUCCAAGGGUGUUUAUUGCCCCUGAAGACUUUCUAGUGGAACAAGAUGUGGAGGUGGAAGACACUGAUGUUGGUGAUCCUGACUCAGUGCAGGCCUAAGCUAAUGUGGGUGUUUGUGUCUUAGUUUUUAACUAAAGGUUUAAAAAGUAAAAAUAAAACAUUAAAAAAAAUUUUUGUACACCUGAA